RNAcentral lists this ribosomal RNA (200 nucleotides) under uncultured bacterium. RNAcentral's name for it is "partial 16S ribosomal RNA". It matches the Rfam family "Bacterial small subunit ribosomal RNA", at positions 8 to 197 of the family's 1533-position model. The record is from RNAcentral.
AGAGUUUGAUCAUGGCUCAGAGCGAACGCUGGCGGCGUGCUUAACACAUGCAAGUCGAGUGCGUAGUCUGCUGUAGCAAUACAGUAGGCCGGCGCACGGCGCACGGGUGCGUAACACGUGGGUAACCUGCCCUCCAAAGGGGGAUAACCCGCCGAAAGGCGGGCUAAUACCGCAUGACAUUCCCGGUGACUUCGGUCGCC